This 2007-nucleotide long non-coding RNA is filed under the name Homo sapiens (human). RNAcentral's name for it is "MAF transcriptional regulator RNA". The record is from RNAcentral. Lineage: Eukaryota; Metazoa; Chordata; Mammalia; Primates; Hominidae.
GGCGUCGCGGAGCUCGGGCCGGUGGAAGGUUUACCUGCUAGGCUCGUCCCACCUGUGUGGAGCUCCCAUCGCCCUCCAGCGUUGCGCAGCCUGAAGGGACAGGACGGACAAGCGGGUGCCUCCUUCUAAUUCAUCUUCACCAUUGUGGUUGUCAAUAUGGCAUGCAGAAUUAUCCCUCUUUCCAGGUUUUCCCCAAGGACCCUGGACAAUGCUGGUUUUUCCUAUGUGCACCACCAAAGGGCCUAUCCAGAUGGAGCUGAGCCUGACACUCUAACCGGUUCUCUGGGUGUACUGCAAAGGUCUAAUAAAAGGCACCUUUGCCCGGUUGCUUCAAUUCUAGGAAGCUGUUCAAUGUUUGACUAUAUUUCUCCAUACUCAUUUGAAAACAGUUCAUCAGAUUGGAACGACCUGGAGCAGCCAGCAGAGUGACAAAUGAGGAAGAGGACAGAAUCUAGCUGAAGAAGCUCUGGAAGAUACCAUUUGAAGUCUUGAGUGCUUGAACUCACAAAGAAAGCACAUGAGUACACACUAGCACUUGAGCUCUUCAUUUUAAACAGAAUAAAGAAUGUACUGCUAUUAUUGUCAUUUUACAGAUAGGGAAAUUCAGACUCACCAGGGCUACUCAGAUACAAAGAAAAUGAGCCAGAAUUUCAAGCAAGCCUGAGCUUAGAAUCUACACUAUUUUUUUUUUUUUUUUUGAGACAUGGUCUUACUUUGUCACCCAGGCUGGAGUUCAGUGGUAUUAGGUUGGCACAAAAGUAAUUGUGGUCUCUGCCACUUAAAACUAGAGCCCGAAACUGCAAUUACUUUUGCACCAACCUAAUGCACUUACCAGAGCUCACUUACGCCUUGACCUCCUGGGCUCAAGUGAUUCUCCCACCUCAGCCUCCCAAGUGGCUGGGAAUGUGGGCAUGCACCACCCUGCCCGGCUAGCUUUUCUUUCUUUUUUUUUUGUGGAGACAGGAUUUUGCCAUGUUGUCCCGGCUGGUCUUUAACUCCUGAGCUCAAACUAUCCUUCUGCCCUGGCCUCCCAAAGUUCUGGGAUUACAGGCAUGAGCCACUGUGCCCGGCCCAGAACCUAUGCUCCUAACUGCCACACCAAUUGACCUCUAUUCAGCCAUUUUUAUUUCUAUAGCACUUGGUAUAAUUUCACUUUGCACACAGUAUCUAUAGAUAAUCAUUCCAGGGCAUGUAAUCGUCAUAAGAUUAUUUAUGUUAUUGCAUGUGUAUUACUGCAUGUAAUCUUCAUGUGUUAUUGCCUCUAACAAGUUAUGUAUUUCCAUGUAGUCUUCAUAACUGUGUAUAGAAGACCAUUUUAGAGAUGGAAAACUGAGACUCAGAAGUGGUAAUUGUCCUACUGGUCAGAGAUUUAGCCAGGGUUUGGAUUGUGGAAUGCAGAGGACCACUUACUUUUCACUAGACCAUAAAUGCUCCUCACCACUGAGGCAUGUCAAAUGCCAGAUAUCUCCAGGAACCUUAGGCUACGUCUCCAUUGUUUUUGCUUUUUCCCCCCUUAGACACAGCUUGGCAAAGAACAAAUGAUCCCAAACACCAAACAGCACACUUGGAAACAUUUAACCCGCAUACUUUCAGACUUUCUGGCAUGGACCAACCUCUUGUCUUACCUUUGUUCCUGGCCAGAAAGAAAUGGCAUGAAAAGAUGGACAGUUUUUAUAACCUCUUUGAGCUCUAAACCAUGUUUCCUGUGCACUUAGGAGAUCUUAAUAGAAACCAAGUACUUCUUUUAGGCAUCUAUACUCUUAAUGCCGUAAGUCAAGUCAAGUACCCAGGUGGUUAAGAUAACUGUACCAACAGAAACAUUUUUAAAAAAUAUCCUAACACAACAUGAAGUGACCAUCGCGAAUUCAAAGAAGCAGGCAUAUUUCUUAAAGGUUGAAAAGAGGUGAGUCUUUCACAAGAUUCUAGCUCAAGGCCAUAUUUGCACAAGUAUAGUCAUUCCUCUAGCAAGGUUUUGUUUAUCUGGCCAUUAAAAAAAAUUAAAACAAC